This 494-nucleotide ribosomal RNA is filed under the name uncultured bacterium. RNAcentral's name for it is "partial 16S ribosomal RNA". It matches the Rfam family "Bacterial small subunit ribosomal RNA", at positions 28 to 507 of the family's 1533-position model. The record is from RNAcentral.
GACGAACGCUGGCGGCGUGCUUAACACAUGCAAGUCGAACGGAAAGGCCUGCUUUCCCUUGUGGAUUGCGGGUACUCGAGUGGCGAACGGGUGAGUAACACGUGAGUGAUCUGCCCCCAACUUGGGUAUAAGCCUGGGAAACUGGGUCUAAUUCCCGAUAGGACUGCAGGGUGGUGCCUGUGGUGGAACACGAUUUUCUAGUGGUUGGGGAUGAGCUCGCGGCCUAUCAGCUUGUUGGUGGGGUAAUGGCCUACCAAGGCGGCGACGGGUAGCCGGCCUGAGAGGGUGGACGGCCACAUUGGGACUGAGAUACGGCCCAGACUCCUACGGGAGGCAGCAGUGGGGAAUAUUGCACAAUGGGCGGAGGCCUGAUGCAGCGACGCCGCGUGGGGGAUGACGGCCUUCGGGUUGUAAACUCCUUUCGACCGCGAGGAAGCCACCUGGUUGGAAGGGUGGUGACGGUAGUGGUAGAAGAAGCACCGGCUAACUACGUG